This 387-nucleotide ribosomal RNA is filed under the name uncultured bacterium. Its description in RNAcentral is "bacterial SSU rRNA". It matches the Rfam family "Bacterial small subunit ribosomal RNA", at positions 28 to 417 of the family's 1533-position model. The record is from RNAcentral.
GACGAACGCUGGCGGCGUGCUUAACACAUGCAAGUCGAGCGGUAAGGCCCUUUCGGGGGUACACGAGCGGCGAACGGGUGAGUAACACGUGGGUGACCUGCCCUCAGCUCUGGGAUAAGCCUGGGAAACCGGGUCUAAUACUGGAUAUGACUCCAUGACGCAUGUUGUGGGGUGGAAAGCCUUGUGCGGCUGAGGAUGGGCCCGCGGCCUAUCAGCUUGUUGGUGGGGUGAUGGCCUACCAAGGCGACGACGGGUAGCCGGCCUGAGAGGGCGACCGGCCACACUGGGACUGAGACACGGCCCAGACUCCUACGGGAGGCAGCAGUGGGGAUCUUGCGCAAUGGGCGAAAGCCUGACGCAGCGACGCCGCGUGAGGGAUGACGGCCU